GAUCCUGGCUCAGGACGAACGCUGGCGGUGCGCCUAACACAUGCAAGUCGAACGGAGCUGAGAGGAGCUUGCUUUUCUUAGCUUAGUGGCGAACGGGUGAGUAACGCGUGAGUAACCUGCCCUGGAGUGGGGGACAACAGUUGGAAACGACUGCUAAUACCGCAUAAGCCCACGGAUCCGCAUGGAUCUGCGGGAAAAGGAUUUAUUCGCUUCAGGAUGGACUCGCGUCCAAUUAGCUAGUUGG
This 244-nucleotide ribosomal RNA is filed under the name uncultured bacterium. RNAcentral's name for it is "partial 16S ribosomal RNA". It matches the Rfam family "Bacterial small subunit ribosomal RNA", at positions 15 to 252 of the family's 1533-position model. The record is from RNAcentral.